AUUGAACGCUGGCGGCAUGCUCUACACAUGCAAGUCGAACGGUAACAGGCCGCAAGGUGCUGACGAGUGGCGAACGGGUGAGUAAUGCAUCUGAACGUGCCCAUUCGUGGGGGAUAACUACUCGAAAGAGUAGCUAAUACCGCAUACGAUCUAUGGAUGAAAGCGGGGGACCGUAAGGCCUCGCGCGAUUGGAGCGGCCGAUGUCAGAUUAGGUAGUUGGUGGGGUAAAGGCUCACCAAGCCAACGAUCUGUAGCUGGUCUGAGAGGACGACCAGCCACACUGGGACUGAGACACGGCCCAGACUCCUACGGGAGGCAGCAGUGGGGAAUUUUGGACAAUGGGCGCAAGCCUGAUCCAGCAAUGCCGCGUGCAGGAAGAAGGCCUUCGGGUUGUAAACCGCUUUUGUACGGAACGAAACGGCUCUGGUUAAUACCCGGGGCUAAUGACGGUACCGUAAGAAUAAGCACCGGCUAACUACGUG
Molecule: ribosomal RNA, 482 nt
Filed under: uncultured bacterium
Lineage: Bacteria
Description: partial 16S ribosomal RNA
Rfam family: Bacterial small subunit ribosomal RNA
Source: RNAcentral